This 876-nucleotide ribosomal RNA is filed under the name Anoplotermes banksi. RNAcentral's name for it is "partial 16S ribosomal RNA". The stretch from base 390 to 758 matches the Rfam family "Bacterial large subunit ribosomal RNA", at positions 2073 to 2647 of the family's 2925-position model. Lineage: Eukaryota; Metazoa; Arthropoda; Insecta; Blattodea; Termitidae. The record is from RNAcentral.
AAUUUUAUUUGUAUUUUUGUUUAUUUAUAUUAUAAUUUAAUUUGUUUAUUGGAAUGUUAUCUUUAAUUGUUUGUUUGGUUAGUAAUUAUUGUGUAAUUAGUAAAUUUUAUUUUAUGUUGUAUAUUAUAUGUUAAAUUCUUUUGAGGAAUUCGGCAAGGUUUCAUGUCCGCCUGUUUAACAAAAACAUCUCUUCUUGUUAGUUUUUGAAGUAUGGCCUGCCCACUGACUUAUAUUUGUUGAAGGGCCGCGGUAUUUUGACCGUGCAAAGGUAGCAUAAUCAUUAGUUCUUUAAUUGUGAUCUGGUAUGAAUGGCUUGACGAGGCAUGUACUGUCUUAGAGGUUGAAUAUUUAAUUGAAUUUGGUCUUUGAGUUAAAAUUCUUAAAUGUUUUUAUGGGACGAGAAGACCCUAUAGAGUUUUACAUUUUUUUACUUUCUUAUAUUUUGUUUGUUUAUUUUUAUUAAGUGAUUCGAGUGUUUUGUUGGGGUGAUGGGAGGAAUUUAUUUAACUCCUCUUUAUUUUGUAUAUUUUUGUAUAUUUUUUUGAUCCAUUUAUUUUGAUUAUAAGAUUAAAUUACCUUAGGGAUAACAGCGUUAUCUUCCUUGAGAGUUCUUAUUGGCGGGAAGGUUUGCGACCUCGAUGUUGGAUUAAGGUUAAUUUUUGGUGUAGGAGCUGAAAGUGAUUAGGUCUGUUCGACCUUUAAAAUCUUACAUGAUCUGAGUUCAGACCGGCGUGAGCCAGGUUGGUUUCUAUCUAUAAUUUUUUUUAUGCCUUAGUACGAGAGGACCGGGUAUUUGGAAUAAUUUUAUUUAAUGUGAUUGUUAUUAAUAUUUUUACUAUUUUGGCAGAUAAGUGCAUUGGAUUUAGAAUCUAUUAA